This 604-nucleotide ribosomal RNA is filed under the name uncultured bacterium. RNAcentral's name for it is "bacterial SSU rRNA". The stretch from base 1 to 514 matches the Rfam family "Bacterial small subunit ribosomal RNA", at positions 338 to 873 of the family's 1533-position model. The record is from RNAcentral.
CCUACGGGAGGCAGCAGUGGGGAAUCUUGCGCAAUGGGCGAAAGCCUGACGCAGCCAUGCCGCGUGAAUGAUGAAGGUCUUAGGAUUGUAAAAUUCUUUCACCGGGGACGAUAAUGACGGUACCCGGAGAAGAAGCCCCGGCUAACUUCGUGCCAGCAGCCGCGGUAAUACGAAGGGGGCUAGCGUUGCUCGGAAUUACUGGGCGUAAAGGGAGCGUAGGCGGAUAGUUUAGUCAGAGGUGAAAGCCCAGGGCUCAACCUUGGAAUUGCCCUUGAUACUGGCUAUCUUGAGUACGGAAGAGGUAUGUGGAACUCCGAGUGUAGAGGUGAAAUUCGUAGAUAUUCGGAAGAACACCAGUGGCGAAGGCGACAUACUGGUCCGUUACUGACGCUGAGGCUCGAAAGCGUGGGGAGCAAACAGGAUUAGAUACCCUGGUAGUCCACGCUGUAAACGAUGAGUGCUAGUUGUCGGCAUGCAUGCAUGUCGGUGACGCAGCUACGCAUAGCACUCCGCCGUCGGGAGGUACGGUCGCGAGAAUUAAAACUUAAAUAGUAAGUUAGUACGGCGUGAGACGUGCCGACGGACGACGACGAGGGAGGUUAGG